UUUAAAGGAAAGCAACCUAAGUUUGCGACGUCCUGUCGCAACGGUUGCAUGAUCAACGUCAUGUUGA
Molecule: small RNA, 67 nt
Filed under: Viridibacillus arenosi FSL R5-213
Lineage: Bacteria; Bacillati; Bacillota; Bacilli; Caryophanales; Caryophanaceae
Description: Bacillaceae-1 RNA
Rfam family: Bacillaceae-1 RNA
Source: Rfam by way of RNAcentral